Aphis gossypii (cotton aphid) is the source of this 631-nucleotide long non-coding RNA. RefSeq lists it as uncharacterized. Lineage: Eukaryota; Metazoa; Arthropoda; Insecta; Hemiptera; Aphididae. The record is from RefSeq and is a predicted model, not a curated record. The transcript is spliced from 3 exons.
UUUUUUACUUUUAUCAGCCGUUCAACGAUACAUAAUAUAAGUAUAUAAUAUGAAACAUAUUACCGGCUUCUAUGUACGUAGGUAUACGUCAGUCACCGACUCUAGAUUUCAACGAUGCGAAGAUGAUCGCAUAAUUAAUUUAAAAAGCGACGUUUCUAUUUCAAUGGCAUACGAUGUAAAAUUAUAUCAUUCUAAAGGGGUCGACUUAAAGGCGAGCAGCAAAUUGUUGGUGGGCGGUGGGUGGAAAUUCGACGAAGAGUGUUGUGGUGGUAAACAAGAGAUAACAAACAAACUCAAAACAUUGCCACCGAGAUCACGAGCGUUUCGAAACUCUGUGGAGGGGCCGAUAUGUAAUCCCUCGGGAACCUUUCUUCUCCAAAAAUAAAGAAAAGUCGCUGAAAAGAACGAACGCAUUUGUGUUUAAAAUUCCAUCAAAAGUCGAUUGUGCCCACGUACUGCUCAGAAAUCAAAGCCGAAGAACUUUGAACCACGUAAGGCGGAUGAAACGCGAACCAAAGCUUUGAGUCGCUGGGAAUUAUACGGUACCCGGAUUUGAGUUUUCAGUACUAUUUUAUAUGCUGCGUGAUGUACCUGAAUGCUUAUAUUUUCUGAACUUUAUUUAAUUGAAAAA